CCAGGGCUCUCUUCAUCGCACCACUGCGUCUGGUAGCCAGCAUCAUCCCACUACCUGACACUGCCCAACUGGACUUUCGAUGACGCUUAUGAGUGACGGGGGCCAAUUCAUUUUUUUCCUUGAAAGUCACUGGCAUCCAGUUUUGCUUUGGAUCUCUUUGGAGUUUUGUUAUAGACAAAAAUACAUUUCCACAAAAGACUGUCAGACAGGUACAACAUAAAGCGUCUCACCAUUUCUAAUGUGGCUACAUCACUUCUCCUCGACAUCUUCUCCUCUCCCUUUGCAUCUACGCCUGAGGUUUUCAGUGUGGGAGUGCACGCAAUACCUUCGGAUUGAGUUUCCAAUACAUGGACAUGGCUGCUCUCCUCACCGCCUGUUCAAACUUACUCUCUGAGGACAGCCUUCUCACUUCCUGUGCAUUCUCUGGUGUGAUGCCUGCCAGUAGAGAAGUAUAAAAGGAUGCAUUGGGGAUUAUUAUAAACAACUGAUCAAUUACCAUUACAACAGUUUUUUUCCAGAUUAUAUUGGCAUAACUUGCAAUUGAAAGCAUUUUCUCAAUGUUCCACAUUUUCUCCACUUCCCCUCACCUUUCU
Molecule: long non-coding RNA, 593 nt
Organism: Carassius gibelio (silver crucian carp)
Lineage: Eukaryota; Metazoa; Chordata; Actinopteri; Cypriniformes; Cyprinidae
Exons: 4
Source: RefSeq, a predicted model, not a curated record